GAUGAACGCUGGCGGCGUGCCUAAUACAUGCAAGUCGAGCGAACAGACGAGGAGCUUGCUCCUCUGACGUUAGCGGCGGACGGGUGAGUAACACGUGGAUAACCUACCUAUAAGACUGGGAUAACUUCGGGAAACCGGAGCUAAUACCGGAGAAUAUAUUGAACCGCAUGGUUCAAUAGUGAAAGACGGUUUUGCUGUCACUUAUAGAUGGAUCCGCGCCGCAUUAGCUAGUUGGUAAGGUAACGGCUUACCAAGGCAACGAUGCGUAGCCGACCUGAGAGGUUGAUCGGCCACACUGGAACUGAGACACGGUCCAGACUCCUACGGGAGGCAGCAGUAGGGAAUCUUCCGCAAUGGGCGAAAGCCUGACGGAGCAACGCCGCGUGAGUGAUGAAGGUCUUCGGAUCGUAAAGCUCUGUUAUUAGGGAAGAACAAAUGUGUGAGUAACUAUGCACGUCUUGACGGUACCUAAUCAGAAAGCCACGGCUAACUACGUG
Molecule: ribosomal RNA, 497 nt
Filed under: uncultured bacterium
Lineage: Bacteria
Description: partial 16S ribosomal RNA
Rfam family: Bacterial small subunit ribosomal RNA
Source: RNAcentral